This 397-nucleotide ribosomal RNA is filed under the name uncultured bacterium. Its description in RNAcentral is "partial 16S ribosomal RNA". It matches the Rfam family "Bacterial small subunit ribosomal RNA", at positions 523 to 918 of the family's 1533-position model. The record is from RNAcentral.
AUACGUAGGGGGCGAGCGUUGUCCGGAAUGACUGGGCGUAAAGGGCGUGUAGGCGGCCGAUUAAGUCUGGAGUGAAAGUCCCGCAUUCAAUGUGGGAAUUGCUUUGGAGACUGGUUGGCUUGAGUGCGGAAGAGGUAAGUGGAAUUCCCAGUGUAGCGGUGAAAUGCGUAGAGAUUGGGAGGAACACCAGUGGCGAAGGCGACUUACUGGGCCGUAACUGACGCUGAGGCGCGAAAGCGUGGGGAGCGAACAGGAUUAGAUACCCUGGUAGUCCACGCGGUAAACGAUGAAUGCUAGGUGUUGCGGGUAUCGACCCCUGCAGUGCCGGAGUAAACACAAUAAGCAUUCCGCCUGGGGAGUACGGCCGCAAGGUUGAAACUCAAAGGAAUUGACGGGG